ACUCAAAGGAAUUGACGGGGGCCCGCACAAGCGGUGGAGCAUGUGGUUCAAUUCGACGCAACGCGAAGAACCUUACCCAGGCUUGAACUGCGAGUGACAAGCUCCGAAAGGAGUCUCCCGCAAGGGCACUCGUAGAGGUGCUGCAUGGCUGUCGUCAGCUCGUGUCGUGAGAUGUUGGGUUAAGUCCCGCAACGAGCGCAACCCUUGUUUGCUGUUGCCAUCAGGUAAUGCUGGGCACUCUGCAAAGACUGCCGGUGAUAAACCGGAGGAAGGUGGGGAUGACGUCAAGUCAGCAUGGCCUUUAUGUCUGGGGCUACACACGUGCUACAAUGGCCGAUACAAACCGUCGCGAGCCCGUAAGGGGGAGCUAAUCGGAGAAAGUCGGUCUCAGUUCGGAUUGUAGGCUGCAACUCGCCUGCAUGAAGUUGGAAUCGCUAGUAAUCGCGGAUCAGCACGCCGCGGUGAAUACGUUCCCGGGCCUUGUACACACCGCCCGU
This 497-nucleotide ribosomal RNA is filed under the name uncultured bacterium. RNAcentral describes it as "partial 16S ribosomal RNA". It matches the Rfam family "Bacterial small subunit ribosomal RNA", at positions 899 to 1397 of the family's 1533-position model. The record is from RNAcentral.